This 468-nucleotide ribosomal RNA is filed under the name uncultured bacterium. RNAcentral's name for it is "partial 16S ribosomal RNA". It matches the Rfam family "Bacterial small subunit ribosomal RNA", at positions 28 to 507 of the family's 1533-position model. The record is from RNAcentral.
GACGAACGCUGGCGGCGUGCUUAACACAUGCAAGUCGAACGGAAAGGCCCUGCUUUUGUGGGGUGCUCGCGUGGCGAACGGGUGAGUAACACGUGAGUAACCUGCCCUUGACUUUGGGAUAACUUCAGGAAACUGGGGCUACUACCGGAUAGGAGCUCCUGCUGCAUGGUGGGGGUUGGAAAGUUUCGGCGGUUGGGGAUGGACUCGCGGCUUAUCAGCUUGUUGGUGGGGUAGUGGCUUACCAAGGCUUUGACGGGUAGCCGGCCUGAGAGGGUGACCGGCCACAUUGGGACUGAGAUACGGCCCAGACUCCUACGGGAGGCAGCAGUGGGGAAUAUUGCACAAUGGGCGGAAGCCUGAUGCAGCAACGCCGCGUGCGGGAUGACGGCCUUCGGGUUGUAAACCGCUUUCGCCUGUGACGAAGCGUGAGUGACGGUAAUGGGUAAAGAAGCACCGGCUAACUACGUG